AGAAAGUUAGUUUAAGUUUAUUAAAUAAAAUUUAAGAUUGUCAUUCUUAAGAUGCCUAAAAGGUACUUUUUG
RNAcentral lists this transfer RNA (72 nucleotides) under Tetrastemma olgarum. RNAcentral describes it as "tRNA-Asp". Lineage: Eukaryota; Metazoa; Nemertea; Enopla; Monostilifera; Tetrastemmatidae. The record is from RNAcentral.